UGCCGUGUGGUCUAGUGGUUUAGGAUUUCUGGUUUCACCCAGGCGGCCGGGGUCGAUUCCCCGCACGGGAG
This 71-nucleotide transfer RNA is filed under the name Clytia hemisphaerica. RNAcentral's name for it is "tRNA-Undet for anticodon ???". It matches the Rfam family "tRNA". From Rfam's summary of the family: Transfer RNA (tRNA) molecules are approximately 80 nucleotides in length. Their secondary structure includes four short double-helical elements and three loops (D, anti-codon, and T loops). The record is from Rfam by way of RNAcentral. Lineage: Eukaryota; Metazoa; Cnidaria; Hydrozoa; Leptothecata; Clytiidae.